CCCUUAGAUGUCCUGGGCCGCACGCGCGCUACACUGAUGCAUUCAACGAGUAUUUCCUUGGCCGAGAGGCCUGGGCAAUCUUUUAAACCUGCAUCGUGAUAGGGGUAGAUUAUUGCAAUUAUUAAUCUUGAACGAGGAAUUCCUAGUAAACGCAAAUCAUCAAUUUGCAUUGAUUACGUCCCUGCCCUUUGUACACACCGCCCGUCGCACCUACCGAUUGAAUGGUCCGGUGAAAUCUCGGGAUUGUGGCCAGUUCACUUUAUUGGGAGUUGGCUGCGAGAACUUGCUUAAACCUUAUCAUUUAGAGGAAGGUGAAGUCGUAACA
Molecule: ribosomal RNA, 325 nt
Filed under: uncultured eukaryote
Lineage: Eukaryota
Description: partial 18S ribosomal RNA
Rfam family: Eukaryotic small subunit ribosomal RNA
Source: RNAcentral